AUUGAACGCUGGCGGCAGGCCUAACACAUGCAAGUCGGGCGAGCGGCGGACGGGUGAGUAAUGUAUGGGGAUCUGCCUGAUGGAGGGGGAUAACUACGGGAAACUGUAGCUAAUACCGCGUACCAUAGGAUGAGCCCAAGUGGGAUUAGGUAGUUGGUGAGGUAAAGGCUCACCAAGCCGAAGAUCUCUAGCUGGUCUGAGAGGAUGACCAGCCACACUGGUACUGUGCCACGGCCCAGACUCCUACGGGAGGCAGCAGGUGGGAAUAUUGCGCAAUGGGGGCAACCUGACGCAGCCAUGCCGCGUGAAUGAAGAAGGCCUUCGGGUUGUAAAGUUCUUUCGGUAGCGAGGCGUUAACUACAGAAGAAGCACCGGCUAACUCCGUGCCAGCAGCCGCGGUAAUAC
This 405-nucleotide ribosomal RNA is filed under the name uncultured bacterium. RNAcentral describes it as "partial 16S ribosomal RNA". It matches the Rfam family "Bacterial small subunit ribosomal RNA", at positions 30 to 526 of the family's 1533-position model. The record is from RNAcentral.